Molecule: Y RNA, 113 nt
Filed under: Aotus nancymaae (Ma's night monkey)
Lineage: Eukaryota; Metazoa; Chordata; Mammalia; Primates; Aotidae
Description: Y RNA (ENSANAG00000000474.1)
Rfam family: Y RNA
About the family: Y RNAs are components of the Ro ribonucleoprotein particle (Ro RNP), in association with Ro60 and La proteins. The Y RNAs and Ro60 and La proteins are well conserved, but the function of the Ro RNP is not known.
Source: Rfam by way of RNAcentral
AGCUGGUGUGAAAGUAGUGCAUUAUAGAAACUGAUUUUUCAUAAUCAGUUAUUGAUUGAACUCCUUGUUCUACCCUUUCUCCUCCUGUCACUACUGUACUGCACUAGUGUAAA